GCGGAAGUGGCUGGAAGUCAUGAGGAACACAUCAGCGGAAGAAGACAAAAGCAGCUGGUCGUGGAGAUUCCGCCAGGGGAAGAGCACACCGGCAGGCACCGCAGGCCAUCGAUCAUCAGAAAGACACGGAGUUUGGCCAGAAUUAUCAGAGAAGAGUUUGGCCAGAGGGGUCAGAGAAGAGUCCAGGGGAAAACGAUCUCCCCUGUGACUCCGGAAUCUUCUGAGAGCUACUUCUACUUAAUAAAACCCUGCACUCAUUCUCCAAGCCCACAUGUGAUCCGAUUCAUCCAGUACACCAAGUGUCCAGGGACAUCUAGAUGAUAUAAGUUCCUUCAGAUGGGUCCCUGGUGUGAGGGUGUCCUGUAUCAGACUGCCUAUUGAAGUUCAACCUGUUGUUCAAGACAGGAUCUCAUUCAGAAUACUACUUUCAUUCAGGCUGGAGUGCAGUGGCAUGAUCUUAGCUUUCUGCAACUUCCGCCUCCUGGGCUCAAGCGAUUCUCCUGUCUCAGGCUCCGGAGUAGCUGGGACUACAGGCAUGCGCCACAACACCAGGGCAGGUGUCCUCAUCAGAAGAGGAAGAGACAUCAGAAGCAGGUCUGCACAGAGGAGAAGCCAUGCUGGGAUACAAUGAGAGGGCAUCUGUCAGCAAGCCAAGGAGAGAAGCCUCAGGAGAAACCACAGCUGUCGACACCUUGAUUUUAGACUUCCAACCUCCAGAAAUGUGAGAAAUACAUUUAUGUUGUUUUAGCCACCCACUCUGUGAUACCGUGUUAUGGCAGCCCUAGAUGACUAAUAUACAAAUAACUAGUUGUGAAACUGAAAACUUCUGAAAAAUCUUUAUAAAACAUCAAAUAUUAUUAACCUUGAUUGUAAAAAGACUGAAUUUUCUUUCUACUAUCUUUAUAGAAAAAGAUAAUACAAAAUAUUUGUAAUAUGAAUACGAAGUCAAAAAAUGUAAGAAAAAAGUAUUAUAGAGAUGUAUUAGGUAGCUGAUUAAAAAUGUUAUUUUUCUAGAGUUUGCAAUCCUUGUUAUUUUUUGCACAGAUUUUUAAAAUGUGCAAUUUUUGCUUUUUGUCCUUAUUCUAAAUGUUCACUCUCAUAUUUGAGUAUGCAUUUGUAAUUUUGAAUUAAUUUCUUAAAGUAGGCUCCUCAAAUUGAGUAAACCUCAGGUUUUACAUAAUCUGAAUCUAUCCCUGGUUAAAAGUUCUGGCUUUAAAACCAGAGUGACCUGAAUCCGCACACAACUUCAGUAUUAUCACUGUCUGUGACUUGGGAAAUAUUUCAAAGGACUUAGGUCUUCUGUAACAAUACCUACCGCAUGAGAGUGUUGUGUUAAUUAAAUGGCAUAGCCGCAUAUAAAAUGACUAGCAGAGUUCUCUUCUUAUACUUCUUUGGUGGGCUUCAAACUAUUGUACCCCAACAAAAGUGACACAUGACAACAAAAGUGUAUUGUUACACUUUUUUGGGGGUACAAUAUUUUGUUUAAGGUCUUGUGUCACUUAAUGAUAGGGAUACAUUCUGAGGAAUGUGUUGUUAGGUAAUUUUGUCAUUAUGUGAACAUCAUAGAUUGUACUUAUGCAAACCUAGAUGGUUGAACUUACUACACAUCUGGGCUAUAUGGUAAGGCCUAUUGCUCCUAGGCUACAAACCUGUACAGUAUGUGAUAGUAAUGAAUAUUGUCACCAAUUAUUACACAUUGGUAUUUAUGUAUCUAAACAUAGCUAAAUAUUUUUAAAAGGUACAUUAAAAGCAGUAUAAAAGAUAAAAAAUGGCCAGGUGCAGUGGGUCGCACCUAUCAUCCCAACACUUUGGAUAGACAAGGUAGGAGGAUCACCUGAGCAUAGGAGUUUAAGACCAAGCUUAGGAACAUAGUGAGACACCGUCUCUAGUAAAGCAAACAAAAAUUAGCCAGGUAUGGUGGCAUGCAACUGUGGUUCCAGCUAUUUGGGGGCUGAGAGGGGAGGAUCACUUAAGCCCAGGAGUUUGAAGCUGCAGUAAGCCAUGAUCGUGCCAUUGCACUCCAGCUUGGGUGACAGAAUGAGACACGGUCUUGGGAAAUAUUUUUAAAAUUAAAAUUUAAAAUGAUACAUAUUUCUGAACCCCUUGAGUCCUAUAAAGAAAAAUUGAAUAUCAAAUUUAAUAGGCCAGCUACAUUAUAAUCUUAUGGGGCCACUAUUAUAUAUGCAAUCUGCUAUUAAUCAAAAUGUCAUUAUGCAGUGAGUGACUAUAUAUACAUUUAUGUAAAUAAUACAUUAUAAAAGAAAUGAACAAUAAACAUUUAUUAACAUAUUUUAAUGAGCUUUUGAUGUUCCUAAUAAAGUUAGACUGCUAUGGUUUUAAUGUAUGUUUUUCCCCAAAUUUAUAUGUUGGAAUUUAAACUUCAAAAUAAUGAUAAGAAGAGGUGAGGCCCUUAGAAGGUGUUUAGCUCAUGGGUGCUCCACACGCAAAAUGGAAUUAGAGCCUUUAUAGAAAGGCUUGGGGAAAAUAGCUAGACCCUUUCUUGCCCUUCUUCCCUUCUGACUUCCUCCAGUGAGGACACAGAAUUUGUCCCACUCAGAGGAUGCAGCAAUACGGCACCAUCUCAGAAGCAGAGAGUAACCCUUCACCAGACACCGAAUCUGCUGGCCCCUUGAUCUUGGACUUUCCAGCCUUCAGACCUGUGAGAAAUAGAGUUCUAUUCUUUAUGAAUUAUCCAGUCUGUGGUAUUCAUAUUGUUAUAAUAUCAGGAAUAAACUAAGGCCCAGGGGAAUUUUAUUAAAAGGGAAAAUAUGAAGUCGCUGCAAUCCUAAUGGAAAGGCACAAGGAAAAGGAAGGUACAAAACUGAAGAGUAAAAAGUAUAGAAACUGACUAUACAAUUUUGUUCUGGGUUAGCCCAGUGGGAACAGAAAUUAGGCCUAUCAUCUCCACCAACCUCAGAAGAUGAGAAUAACUGAGAAAGUUCACCCAAUGUAUCUAAUAUUAUGUAGAACUAUUUAGGUCAAAUUCUUUUUUUACAGGACUAUAAAAAAUUACAGAUGAUGCCUAUGUCUGUGCAUAUUUAUUCAGUCUCUCAUUUAAACAGAAAGUCAAUUCAGACGCUUUGUUUCCCAUAUACGUAGAGACAGUUUGAGCCACAGUUAAAGUUUCUAGGAUUUAAUGGCCAAUCUAUAGGAACUUUAUCUAUGUAACUGCUGCACCAAAUUCUUUAAUAUGUCAUUUUCUUCACUUUUAUUUUACUUCCCUUACUUCUGUUUAAGAAAAUUUUCAGGUCCAAACAUCUUGUUUAAACUCAUUAUUUUUUUUUUUUGUAUUUCAAUCUCUUUCACAUUUCUGUCCACUUUAAUUUUUUUUCUUUUUUCUCUUUCAUGAGUUUGUCCCCAGUUGGCAUCUUCUCUUCUAUGCUAGGAUUUAUUUUUUUUAAAAAAAGUUUUAGAUGAAAUGAAAGAUACGAGAGAUAUAAAUGAAAGUGGCAUAAAAACUCCAAAGCUAAGGAAGAUAAUAGAAGGAGACAUUUUAAAAUUAAAUGCAAACAGUGGCUCAGAGAGUACAAACAAAAGCAGGUGGAAAGAGGACAAUCUCCAGCAUCCAGAACCAGAAAUGGUUCUAAAAGGUCAGUGCAUGAAGCACACAGCCAGGUCAGCAAACAUUUCUCUCUCCUCAGGCCAGAGAAGUAAAUAGAAAAUUCACAGGAGACUUGAACAGUAAAGGAAUAGUAAAUAAAAUUGCUACUUGGACGCCAAAGAGACAAGAUUUGCACCAAACAAGAGUUUUAAGUUUAAAAAUCACAGGAAGGCACCUGAGGCUAGAUCCACAAAAAUUUCUGAAGACAUAAAUAUUCUGAUAAGGUCUGAGAUAUUGUUGAAAAACUAAAUUCUCUAACAUAAAAGAGAUAAGAGUUUAAUUUCUUUUGUUUGCUCUUUCCUAGCUGUGUGACCUGUUAAAAUUUAUUCAACCCCUCUGAGCCUCAGUUACCUAUCAAUCAUUAACUGAACAACACAUGUCAGGUCAUCACAUAGAUUAAAUACAUGAAAAUUGCUGAGGACAGUAUAACACAAAACCUUACCAAAUUGUAGUUUGCUUCCUAAGAGACUGGAUUACUAAAUUGAGAGACUGUUUCCAUGGUCAAUAAAACUG
This is a long non-coding RNA of Gorilla gorilla gorilla (western lowland gorilla), 4114 nucleotides long. RefSeq lists it as uncharacterized. The transcript is spliced from 4 exons. Lineage: Eukaryota; Metazoa; Chordata; Mammalia; Primates; Hominidae. The record is from RefSeq and is a predicted model, not a curated record.